CCUACGGGGGGCAGCAGUGAGGAAUAUUGGUCAAUGGACGAGAGUCUGAACCAGCCAAGUAGCGUGAAGGAUGACUGCCCUAUGGGUUGUAAACUUCUUUUAUAUGGGAAUAAAAUGUUCCACGUGUGGGAUUUUGUAUGUACCAUAUGAAUAAGGAUCGGCUAACUCCGUGCCAGCAGCCGCGGUAAUACGGAGGAUCCGAGCGUUAUCCGGAUUUAUUGGGUUUAAAGGGAGCGUAGGUGGAUUGUUAAGUCAGUUGUGAAAGUUUGCGGCUCAACCGUAAAAUUGCAGUUGAAACUGGCAGUCUUGAGGACAGUAGAGGUGGGCGGAAUUCGUGGUGUAGCGGUGAAAUGCUUAGAUAUCACGAAGAACUCCGAUUGCGAAGGCAGCUCACUGGACAUUAACUGACGCUGAGGCACGAAGGCCAGGGGAGCGAAAGGGAUUAGAUACCCUUGUAGUC
Molecule: ribosomal RNA, 460 nt
Filed under: uncultured bacterium
Lineage: Bacteria
Description: partial 16S ribosomal RNA
Rfam family: Bacterial small subunit ribosomal RNA
Source: RNAcentral